AUUGAACGCUGGCGGCAGGCCUAACACAUGCAAGUCGAGCGGAUGAAGGGAGCUUGCUCUCUGAUUCAGCGGCGGACGGGUGAGUAAUGCCUAGAAAUCUGCCUGGUAGUGGGGGACAACGUUUCGAAAGGAACGCUAAUACCGCAUACGUCCUACGGGAGAAAGCAGGGGACCUUCGGGCCUUGCGCUAUCAGAUGAGCCUAGGUCGGAUUAGCUAGUAGGUGAGGUAAUGGCUCACCUAGGCGACGAUCCGUAACUGGUCUGAGAGGAUGAUCAGUCACACUGGAACUGAGACACGGUCCAGACUCCUACGGGAGGCAGCAGUGGGGAAUAUUGGACAAUGGGCGAAAGCCUGAUCCAGCCAUGCCGCGUGUGUGAAGAAGGUCUUCGGAUUGUAAAGCACUUUAAGUUGGGAGGAAGGGCAGUAAGUUAAUACCUUGCUGUUUUGACGUUACCAACAGAAUAAGCACCGGCUAACUUCGUGCCAGCCGCCGCUGUAA
This 500-nucleotide ribosomal RNA is filed under the name uncultured bacterium. Its description in RNAcentral is "partial 16S ribosomal RNA". It matches the Rfam family "Bacterial small subunit ribosomal RNA", at positions 30 to 523 of the family's 1533-position model. The record is from RNAcentral.